GCGGGUGUGGCGGAAUGGCAGACGCGCUGGUCUUAGGAACCAGUGGAAACUCCGUGCAGGUUCAAGUCCUGUCACCCGCACCA
RNAcentral lists this transfer RNA (83 nucleotides) under Clostridia bacterium. RNAcentral's name for it is "tRNA-Leu". It matches the Rfam family "tRNA". From Rfam's summary of the family: Transfer RNA (tRNA) molecules are approximately 80 nucleotides in length. Their secondary structure includes four short double-helical elements and three loops (D, anti-codon, and T loops). The record is from RNAcentral. Lineage: Bacteria; Bacillati; Bacillota; Clostridia.